Molecule: microRNA precursor, 118 nt
Filed under: Nicotiana attenuata
Lineage: Eukaryota; Viridiplantae; Streptophyta; Magnoliopsida; Solanales; Solanaceae
Description: pre miRNA MIR1446
Source: RNAcentral
CAAUAAUCUCUCUCUCUCUCUCUCUCUCUUUCUUCUAAAUUGUCUAUCUUCAUCGACCUCAAGGCCGAUGAAGAUAGACAAUUUAGAAGAAAGAGAGAGAGAGAGAGAGAUAUUAUUG